CAAAAACAUGUCUUUUAGAAAUUAAUUUAAAGUCUAACCUGCCCACUGAUUUUAUAUUUAAGGGCCGCAGUAUUUUGACUGUGCAAAGGUAGCAUAAUCAUUUGUCUUUUAAUUGAAGGCUGGAAUGAAUGGUUGAAUGAAGUAUUAACUGUCUCAUUUUUAUAAAUUAAGAAUUUAGCUUUUAAAUAAAAAGGUUUAAAUAAAAUUAAAAGACGAGAAGACCCUAUAGAUUUUUAUAUUUUAUUAUUUAAUAUUAGUAAGAAAUAAAUUUUAUUAUUAAUUAAUUUAAUAUUUGAUUGGGGUGAUUAAAAAAUUAAAUAAACUUUUUUAUAUUUAAACAUAAAUUAAUGAAUAAUUGAUCCAAUUUUAUUGAUUAAAAGAUUAAAUUACCUUAGGGAUAACAGCGUAAUUUUUUUAGAGAGUUCAUAUCGAUAAAAAAGAUUGCGACCUCGAUGUUGAAUUAAAGGUUAUUUUUAAAUGUAGUAGUUUAAAGUUUAAGUCUGUUCGACUUUUGAAUCUUUACAUGAUCUGAU
RNAcentral lists this ribosomal RNA (533 nucleotides) under Drepanacra binocula. Its description in RNAcentral is "partial 16S ribosomal RNA". It matches the Rfam family "Archaeal large subunit ribosomal RNA", at positions 1900 to 2678 of the family's 2987-position model. The record is from RNAcentral. Lineage: Eukaryota; Metazoa; Arthropoda; Insecta; Neuroptera; Hemerobiidae.